UACAUUCAGAAUUUCAAUGGGGUAAUUUGGCCGGAUUUCUCAUUUCAUGCGUGAUGUGCUGCCAGCUCUAAUCGACUAUUCUCUCUCCAUUUCUCUCAUCCUUCUUCCCCAGUGAAACUCAAAUUUGUAUUCCUCCUCUUCUCUCUCAUUCUCCACUGAAACCCUAACUUUCCCUUCCUCCUUAUUGCCUUGCUUGUCAACUGAUGCUCCUUAGAGGGUAUAUGAAUUUUCCUUUAUUAAUACUUAUUUUUACAUUCAACUAUCAUGAAGUGAGCAAAGAGCCAUUGUAUAUAAGGCCUAUCUUGCUGACAGGCUCGAAACUUACAUUGUUAAUAAGCUUCAGACUUGAUCAAAAGAAAAUUCAUAAUAUCAAACCACUCCUAUCACUACAAAGAUGUAGUAACAGUGGUAAGUCCGAGUCGAUUCGUAGAGAAGCGCGAUUGGUUUCGUUAAGUUAAUUUUCUAACUAGAGCGAUAAAUGAGGGGCUUUGGUGUGGAAGAGAUAUAUGCGUGAAAUUGAAAUAAAAGGGUAAAUGUAAUCUAGGAUAGGAAUCUAUCUAAUUUCUAGAGCAAGAGGGAGUUUCCUAUGCAAUUUCUUUCAUUAGGCAUCAAUUAAUUACAUUGAAUCUAUCAA
Long non-coding RNA from Benincasa hispida (wax gourd), 634 nucleotides. RefSeq lists it as uncharacterized. The record is from RefSeq and is a predicted model, not a curated record. NCBI's taxonomy places the organism in Eukaryota, Viridiplantae, Streptophyta, Magnoliopsida, Cucurbitales, Cucurbitaceae.